GAUGAAGAGCGUAGCGAAAUGCGAUAAGUAAUGUGAAUUGCAGAAUUCAGUGAAUCAUCGAAUCUUUGAACGCACAUUGCGCCCCCUGGUAUUCCGGGGGGCAUGCCUGUCCGAGCGUCAUUACAACCCUCAAGCUCAGCUUGGUAUUGGGCCCCGCCGCUCCGGCGGGCCCUAAAGUCAGUGGCGGUGCCGUCCGGCUCCGAGCGUAGUAAUUCUUCUCGCUCUGGAGGUCCGGUCGUGUGCUCGCCAGCAACCCCCAAUUUUUUUCAGGUUGACCUCGGAUCAGGUAGGGAUACCCGCUGAACUUAAGCAUAUCAAUAAGCGGAGGA
This 329-nucleotide unclassified non-coding RNA is filed under the name soil metagenome. RNAcentral's name for it is "partial contains 5.8S ribosomal RNA, internal transcribed spacer 2, and large subunit ribosomal RNA". The stretch from base 1 to 120 matches the Rfam family "5.8S ribosomal RNA", at positions 35 to 154 of the family's 154-position model. The record is from RNAcentral.